This 356-nucleotide long non-coding RNA is filed under the name Helianthus annuus (common sunflower). The record is from RNAcentral. Lineage: Eukaryota; Viridiplantae; Streptophyta; Magnoliopsida; Asterales; Asteraceae.
GAGCAAGGACGCCUAAAAAAUGUGACGAAACUUGCAUUGAAGGUUGGCAAAAUCAAAACAGUUUCUGCGAUUCUCCGUGCCUAUCAAAUCUCUUAAUUUUGAAUAUGGCCUCGAACAAAUCGCAACAUAUCAAUCUACAAUCGUAAUUGUUAGGGUUUAAUGUUUUUUUAGUGAUCAAUUUGUUUGUCAUCUCUUUUUUUGCAAAUAAAGAGAAAAGCCAAUUUGCAGAGCAAGGGCGCCUAACAAAUGUGACGAAACUUGCAUUGAAGGUUGGCGAAAUUAAAAAAGUUUCUGUGAUUCUCCGUGCCUAUCAAAUUUUUUAAUUUUGAAUACGGCCUCGAACAAAUCGCAACAUU